AGAGUUUGAUCCUGGCUCAGGACGAACGCUGGCGGCGUGCUUAACACAUGCAAGUGGAGCGACGAACCGGGGCUUGCCCCGGGGCAGAGCCGCGAACGGGUGAGUAACACGUGGGUAACCUACCCCGAUGACCGGGACAACUCGAGGAAACUCGGGCUAAUACCGGAUGUGCUCGUUGAUCAUGAGGUUGGCGAGUAAAG
This 200-nucleotide ribosomal RNA is filed under the name uncultured bacterium. RNAcentral describes it as "partial 16S ribosomal RNA". It matches the Rfam family "Bacterial small subunit ribosomal RNA", at positions 8 to 206 of the family's 1533-position model. The record is from RNAcentral.